Molecule: ribosomal RNA, 780 nt
Filed under: uncultured bacterium
Lineage: Bacteria
Description: bacterial SSU rRNA
Rfam family: Bacterial small subunit ribosomal RNA
Source: RNAcentral
GCAUUUAGAGNGGCCCGCGGCCUAUCANCUNGAUGGNGAGGUAANGGCUCACCANGGCAGUGACGGGUAGCCGGUCNGAGAGGACGAACGGCCACAGNGGGACUNAAAUAUGGUCCACANCCCUACGGGGUUUAGCANGGAGGAAUCUUGCGCAACGACNGGAAAGUCGGCGCAGCAACGCCGCGUGGGGGACGAAGGCCUUUGGGUCGUAAACCCCUGUUGCUCGGGAAGAAGUACCCCUGGGGAGAUCCCAGGGGGAAGACGGUACCGGGCGAGGAAGCACCGGCUAACUACGUGCCAGCAGCCGCGGUAAUACGUAGGGUGCAAGCGUUAUCCGGAUUUAUUGGGCGUAAAGGGCGCGCAGGCUGCCACCAGCAGUGGCCCGUGGAAUCUCUCCGCUUAACGGAGAGGGGCCGGGCCAAACGGGGUGGCUUGGGGCAGGCAGAGGCAUGCAGAACGGGCGGAGUAGGGGUGAAAUCCGUAGAGACCGUCCGGAAUACCAGUGGCGAAGGCGGCAUGCUGGGCCUGAAGCCGUAAGGCUGAACCCGACGCUCGGGCGCGAAAGCGUGGGGAGCGAACGGAAUUAGAUACUCCGGUAGUCCACGCCCUAAACGAUGGCAACUCGGUGUCGGGGGUAUCGACCCCCCCGGCGCCCCAGCUAACGCGGUAAGUUGCCCGCCUGGGGACUACGGCCGCAAGGCUAAAACUCAAAGGAAUUGACGGGGGCCCGCACAAGCAGCGGAGCGUGUGGUUUAAUUCGAUGCAACGCGAAGAACCUUA